GUUUAUAAUUAAUUUAAAGUAAAUUAAGAGUUUAUUUAAUUAAAUUUAAUUAAAAUAUUAAUAAUGAUAUAAGUUUUAGUAUUUAUAAAUAAAAUAAAUUAUUAUUUUAAGUGAAUUAGUAUUGUAAGAGAAUAUUGAAAGAUUUAUUAUAUAAUUAUUAUUAUGUAAGUAAUUUUAACUUAGUGUAUCUUGUGUAUCAGAGAUUAUUAAAAUUUAUAUUAAAAUAAUAAUAUUUCUCGAAAUUUAAAGAUUUAAAUAAUUAUCUUAUUUAAUAUGGUAAUAUUAUUAAUAAUUAUUAUUUUGAAAUGAAAUGUUAAUCGAUUUAAAUUAUAUCUAGUUUUUUUAGAAAUAAAUUUAAUUUAGUUAUAUGAAUAGUUAUAAUUUAUUUAAAUUAAAUAUUUUUAUAAUAAUUUUAUAAGGGAUAAUCUUUAUAAAAAAUUUAAAAAUUUUAUAAAGGUUAGUUAAUUUUAUAUAAAUAAAAUUUUUAUUUAUUUUUUUUUUUUAUAAAAUUUUUAAUUUAAUUAAAUUUUAAAUGUAUAAGUUAAUUUUUGUAUAUAAAUAUAAUUUUUAAUUAUAAAAUAUUAGAAAAAAUGAUAAUAUUAGUAUAUAAAAAUUAUAUUUAUUAUAAUAAUAUAUAAUGAUAGGUAAAAUUAAAGAAUUCGGCAAAAUUAUAUAUUCGCUUGUUUAUCAAAAACAUGUCUUAAAGAAUUAUUAUUUUAAGUCUAAUCUGCCCACUGAAUUUAUUUAAAGGGCCGCAGUAUAAUUGUGCAAAGGUAGCAUAAUAAUUAGUUUUUUAAUUGGAAACUAGAAUGAAUGAUUGGACGAAAUAUUAACUGUUUUGGUUUUAUAUAUAAAAUUUAUUUUUUUAGUGAAAAAACUAAAAUUACUUAAAAAGACAAGAAGACCCUAUAGAUCUUUAUAUUAUAAUUAUAAAUUAAUGUUUAUUUUAUAAUGUUAAAUUGGGGUGAUUGAGAAAUUUAAUUAACUUUUUAUAUUUUUUACAAUAAUUAUUGAAUUAUUGAUGUUGAUCUAUUAUUAAGAAUAAAGAAUAAGAUACCUUAGGGAUAACAGCGUAAUUUUAGUUUUAAGUUCGUAUUGAAAUUAAAGAUUGCGACCUCGAUGUUGGAUUAAAAUUAAUUUUAAAUGUAGAUGUUUAAUAAUUAGGUCUGUUCGACCUUUGAAUUUUUACAUGAUCUGAGUUCAGACCGGCGUGAGCCAGGUUGGUUUCUAUCUUUUAGUAAAUAAAAUAAUUUAGUACGAAAGGAUUGAUUAUUUAAAUUUUAUUUAUUAUUAAUGAUUAAAAUUAAUUAGAUAUGUAUAUAUAAUUAAAAAA
RNAcentral lists this ribosomal RNA (1333 nucleotides) under Olinga feredayi. Its description in RNAcentral is "16S ribosomal RNA". The record is from RNAcentral. Lineage: Eukaryota; Metazoa; Arthropoda; Insecta; Trichoptera; Conoesucidae.